GGCACGGUGGUGCAUUGGUUAGCGCUGUUGCCUCACAGCAAGAAGGUUGUGGGUUCGAUUCCGGCCUGGGGCC
Molecule: non-coding RNA, 73 nt
Organism: Gymnothorax javanicus (giant moray)
Lineage: Eukaryota; Metazoa; Chordata; Actinopteri; Anguilliformes; Muraenidae
Source: the annotation of a GenBank genome assembly